UACGAAGUGACCUUUGGAAGUUUGAGUGCUUGCACAAAGAUGAAAGAAGAUUUUUCACUUAGUGGCGGACGGGUGAGUAACACGUGGGUAACCUACCUUUGAGUCUGGGAUAACAGUUGGAAACGACUGCUAAUACCGGAUUAAAUGACAAUAGUAAAUGUUGUUAUUAAAAGGAGCCUUUAAAGCUCUGCUCUAAGAUGGGCCUGCGGUCGAUUAGCUAGUUGGUGGGGUAAUGGCCUACCAAGGCGACGAUCGAUAGCCGAACUGAGAGGUUGAUCGGCCACACUGGGACUGAGACACGGCCCAGACUCCUACGGGAGACAGCAGUUAGGAAUAUUCGUCAAUGGGGGAAACCCUGAACGAGCAAUGCCGCGUGAAUGAUGAAGGCCCUUUGGGUUGUAAAAUUCUGUGGAUAGGGAAGAACACCUGAAAUAGUAAAUGAUUUCAGCCUGACGGUACCUAUCUAGAAAGCUCCGGCUAACUACGUGCCAGCAGCCGCGGUAAUACGUAGGGAGCAAGCGUUAUCCGGAUUUAUUGGGCGUAAAGGGUGCGUAGGCGGUCUAUUAAGUCUGAAAUUAAAGCCCGAGGCUUAACCUCGGUUCGUUUUAGAAACUGGUAGACUUGAGUGUAGUAGAGGCAAAUGGAAUUUCUAGUGUAGCGGUGGAAUGCGUAGAUAUUAGAAGGAACACCAGUGGCGAAGGCGAUUUGCUGGGCUACAACUGACGCUGAGGCACGAAAGCGUGGGGAGCAAAUAGGAUUAGAUACCCUAGUAGUCCACGCCGUAAACGAUGAGUACUAAGUGUUGGGGUUACCCGGUGCUGAAGUUAACGCAUUAAGUACUCCGCCUGAGUAGUACGGUCGCAAGACUGAAACUCAAAGGAAUUGACGGGCACCCGCACAAGCGGUGGAGCAUGCUGUUUAAUUCGAAGAUACGCGAAGAACCUUACCUAGACUUGACAUCUCCGGCAAUGCUAUAGAAAUAUAGCGGAGGUUACCCGGAUGACAGGUGGUGCAUGGUUGUCGUCAGCUCGUGUCGUGAGAUGUUUGGUUAAGUCCAAUAACGAGCGCAACCCUUGUCCUUAGUUGCUAACAUUAAGUUGAGAACCCUAAGGAAACUGCCGGUGAUAAACCGGAGGAAGGUGGGGAUGACGUCAAAUCAUCAUGCCCCUUAUGUCUAGGGCUACAGGCGUGCUACAAUGGCCAGUACAAAGAGUCGCAAUACCGUAAGGUGGAGCUAAUCUAUAAAGCUGGUCUCAGUUCGGAUUGAGGUCUGCAACCCGACCUCAUGAAGUUGGAAUCGCUAGUAAUCGUGGAUCAGAAUGCCACGGUGAAUACGUUCCCGGGUAUUGUACACACCGCCCGUAUCU
RNAcentral lists this ribosomal RNA (1367 nucleotides) under uncultured bacterium. RNAcentral's name for it is "bacterial SSU rRNA". It matches the Rfam family "Bacterial small subunit ribosomal RNA", at positions 65 to 1401 of the family's 1533-position model. The record is from RNAcentral.